AGUCGAACGAGAGAUGAAGAGCUUGCUCUUCAAAUUGAGUGGCGAACGGGUGAGUAACGCGUGAGGAACCUGCCUCAAAGAGGGGGACAACAGUUGGAAACGACUGCUAAUACCGCAUAAGCCCACGGCUCGGCAUCGAGCAGGGGGAAAAGGAGCAAUCCGCUUUGAGAUGGCCUCGCGUCCGAUUAGCUAGUUGGUGAGGUAACGGCCCACCAAGGCGACGAUCGGUAGCCGGACUGAGAGGUUGAACGGCCACAUUGGGACUGAGACACGGCCCAGACUCCUACGGGAGGCAGCAGUGGGGAAUAUUGCACAAUGGGGGAAACCCUGAUGCAGCGACGCCGCGUGGAGGAAGAAGGUCUUCGGAUUGUAAACUCCUGUUGUUGAGGAAGAUAAUGACGGUACUCAACAAGGAAGUGACGGCUAACUACGUGCCAGCAGCCGCGGUAAAACGUAGGUCACAAGCGUUGUCCGGAAUUACUGGGUGUAAA
RNAcentral lists this ribosomal RNA (491 nucleotides) under uncultured bacterium. Its description in RNAcentral is "bacterial SSU rRNA". It matches the Rfam family "Bacterial small subunit ribosomal RNA", at positions 60 to 564 of the family's 1533-position model. The record is from RNAcentral.